RNAcentral lists this unclassified non-coding RNA (340 nucleotides) under uncultured fungus. Its description in RNAcentral is "partial contains 5.8S ribosomal RNA, internal transcribed spacer 2, and large subunit ribosomal RNA". The record is from RNAcentral. Lineage: Eukaryota; Fungi.
AACGCAUAUUGCGGUCGAGGCUUCUGCCGAGACCAUGUCUGCCUCAGCGUCGGGUUUAUAUCACUCCCCUUGUUGUGUAAACACAACAAGGGAGUGGACCUGGCCGUUCCAGUUAAGCCUUGCCUUUACCUUCAACAAGUAUGGGCAAACCGAGCUCUGGAUCGGCUGAAGAUCAGAGUUCUGACCGAGGACCCGCCAAGGGCCGCAACUGGGUGGGCAUUAUUUCCAAUGCUGAAGCUUUAGUUGUUGGCCUGGGAUUUCGGCCUUGAGACCUCAAACAGGAAAACCCACAACUUAUAUUCUCGACCUGAGCUCAGGCAAGAACACCCGCUGAACUUAA